AUGAUGUACAGUGAGCAGACAGAGCUACACAGCAAGACAUUAAAUAAUGAUAAUCUGAAGUAGCAUUUAAAGCCCAGGUAUGUGCCAGGCUGUUUGGGCAUAUAAUCCAUGCCUGCUGGUCUAGCACACAGGAGGCUAAUUGCGAUAUAUUCUUUUUACUCUGUGGGGAUAUUUAUGGGAUAAUAAUAGUAACAGUGAGAAUUGCCCACUAAUUCAAUUCUCAGAUCCCAAAGAAC
Molecule: non-coding RNA, 236 nt
Organism: Pelobates cultripes (western spadefoot toad)
Lineage: Eukaryota; Metazoa; Chordata; Amphibia; Anura; Pelobatidae
Source: the annotation of a GenBank genome assembly